UCAGGCCACAGAAAUAAUGAUACUUAGAAAACUAAGAAUUUGGGGGCUUUAUAUUUGUUGUUUUGGUUUUUAGCUUUUCUUUUUAAAAACAAACAAAACAAAACACCACAAACCCAGUUUUAAGGACUGGAAUUUUUUUGUCUGAUGUAAUCACAUGAUUCCAAAACAGGGGCUUUGCAGAGAAGUAUCAAAUAUCAUGACCAUGAUAAAAGUCACAAGAACAGGGAAUACUCUUAAUUAGUGAAUGAUGAGAUAAGGGGAAAUUAAAUCUGACUAACAGUCUUGCCUUCAGAAGUUACUAAGCCAUUCCUGUCAUGGCUGAAGCAUAAAUAUAUGUGGGAAAAAGGUUGCUCUAUUUGUGUGUUCUGUAUAAUAUUGGCAAUUAUUUCUAAGUCUGUGGUGUCAGGACUCAGUCCUCUAUGAGGUCAUUUGGCUCCGCAUCCCCAGAUACUCACUGGCAUCAUAAUACUGAUCUUUAUUGGUAAGUCUAUACAGCCAUGCUGGUUUAUGGCUCAAGCCAGCAUGCAAGACCAAAUUCCCCAGCCAUCCAUACUGCUCCUAUAAGUUGUCUCACACUUUGGCUUAGACCUGGAGCAAAGAAGCAAAGUUGCCAAGGAGAGGAACUCAGGGUUGGAUUAAGCAGUGUUGAUACAACUGAACCCACAAUGAAUAAAAAUCUGGGCAUAGCUAAUGCAGUACAGGGACACCCUUUGAGAUUCUCAGACAAAACAAAGGCAACAAGCAGAAAAAAUCCUAGAGAAUGUGAAUUUACUCAAGCUCAAAGCCUUUCAGUCUCCAGCAGCACCUAAUCCUUCAGCAGUAGCAUCACUUGUUGGAAGGUUAGCUGGCUUCAGAACUGUCACCCCAUCCCUCUACAUAGCCACCAUGUGCCUUGCUUCAGGUAAAUGCCAUGUCUGUUUGGCUCACAGCCCCUGGGCAGCCAGAGCAGCACUGAGCUCUCCCUGCCAAACUCGGCUGUGACUGGGGAACAGCUCUGAGCAUUCCACCAAGACAACAGUAUCCUCCCCCACUUUUCUCAUCAUCUACUAAUUUUGUUAUGCUUUCCCAUAAAGAAAACAAAACAAAACAAAUAAACUCAUCUGGCAAGAAUUACUCUUCCUCA
RNAcentral lists this long non-coding RNA (1123 nucleotides) under Cyanistes caeruleus (blue tit). Its description in RNAcentral is "lncRNA (ENSCCEG00000022917.1)". The record is from RNAcentral. Lineage: Eukaryota; Metazoa; Chordata; Aves; Passeriformes; Paridae.